Non-coding RNA from Sus scrofa (pig), 1172 nucleotides. The record is from RefSeq and is a predicted model, not a curated record. Lineage: Eukaryota; Metazoa; Chordata; Mammalia; Artiodactyla; Suidae.
GGAAGAACUAAAUCACAGAUAGGUGACAUGUUUUAGGCAUUGAUCUUGGCAUAGGAGAUGUAAUAAAUAAGCUAGGCAGGUUAUUUAUUACAUCUAUGUCAUCCAUCAAGCCUAUGGACGGAGGCAGACAAUAAACAAGUAGACAAACAAAGAAUAAAGAUAAUUUGCAAGUAAAAUCAAAUCUUGUAGUGGGUUAGAGUAACUGAUGGACAGAGAGGCACAUUUACAAAGAGGUCAAGGGAGUGCCUCUCAGAAGAGGUGACUUUACACUUGAACCUGAGUGAAGUGAAGAAAUCCGCUUUAUGAAAUUCUGGGGCACAGCAUUACCAGCAAAAGUCGCAGCAUGUGCAAAGGUCCUGAGGAGAGAACAGACAUAUUCAAGAAAGAGCAAGAAGGCUAGUGUGGAUGCAGUGUGCUUAUAAUUUACAUUUAUUAGCCACAUAGGUAGAGCUUUGUAAGCCAGGCUGGUACGCAGAAUGGUCCCCCAAAAAUAUCCACAACCUAAUAUCUGAAACCCUGGAUGUGACAAAAGGUACUCUGAAGCUGUAAUUGUUUACAGAGUUAGUGAGGGAGAGACUACUCUGGAUUUUCCAGGUGGACCCAAUCUAAUCAUGUGAGUCAGUAAAAGCAGAACAUUUUUCCCAGCUGGCGGCAGGUGAAGGGAGGAGGCAGAGGGGAGCCCAGACUUAUUGAAGGCCUGGUGGGUAGGCAACGUGAGUAACACAGGGGACUUCAAGGUGAAAGAGUCCCCCAGAUAACAACCAGGAAAGAAGCGGGGACCUUGGCCCCACAACCUCAAGAGACUGAAUUCUGCCACCAACCUGAAUGAACUUCGGAGUGACUUCUCCUCCCCUAAAGACUCCAGUUAAGGGCCCAGGCUAACCGACAUCUUGUUUUCACCUCGUGGGACUCGGAACAGAGGAAUCAGUCCGACCUACCUGGACUUCUUACAGAACUGAGAGUUUUUGCUCCUUGAAACAUGCAUAAAGGAAAAUCAGCUGUUAUGCUGGAAUAAAGUGGAUCUUUCUCUGCCUCGUGUAUAGCAACUAAGCAACCAUUCUUAUUGCUGAAGAAUGUCCUCAAGGCUUCGCUGUCCAUAGCAAUGUCUUAUUAAACUGUCUUCCAUACCAGUAAUCUGCUGUCCAGGGUGGGGAGUAAAAUUUCCUACCUUG